CUCACAAAAGCUGUAUGAUUUCGUGUACAUAAUGUGUUUAAAUGUUUUAGUUCCUUCAUAUAUACAACAAUCCACAAGAAUUUUAAUCACUUAAUUGUUGCAAGCAUAACGUUUCAUUUAAAGUUUAGGGUCAAUAAAUUUUCAGUUGACAUUCUGAUGCCUUUCCUGUUUGUCUUCACCUGGCCGCCAUUUUAAGUUUAGUGACAAGCGCGAGGUAAUUUUUUUUUUCUACAUAGUGCAGAAUCCAUUGGAGUGUUAAAAGUCACAUUUGUAAAUUUAAAAUUUCGUAGAAUUUCAUUUAAAAGGAAUCUGUGGUAUUACUGCAAAUCCAAAACCAGUCGGUGAAACAGUCAACCUUUGAAAACAUGUUUUCUAAAAUUUCCCGGUUUCAAGCCAAACUGAGAUUUGGCGUCUGCCACUGUCAGCUGAGUCACUGUCAAGUUCACAAGAUGCGAGGACAAAGAAAAUGGCGGCCAAGAAGAGAGUACUGGAAAUGAUGCGGGAUUUUUGCAGUUUAUGAACAAAAUGCGAUGUGUCAUGGGAUUUCCUAUCAGCGUGGGGAUACAUAAGCAAAUGAAUGCUGAUAUGGAGGUGCUCUUGGCUUCACAGCGAGCUGCUAUGACUCUGUUCCAGGCGGGCGUGGAUCAAGAAUCAAACUGGUUAUCUGAGAGGGAUGCUGACGAAAGAGAAAAUAUUGCCAGAGCUCGGGUAAUGCUUCUCGAUUCGUCAGACUUGAGUGAACAGCCGCAUCCGUGUGUGUAUUUAAAGAUGAAAAGAAUAAAAUACAUUCUUAACUCUG
Molecule: long non-coding RNA, 799 nt
Organism: Haliotis rubra (blacklip abalone)
Lineage: Eukaryota; Metazoa; Mollusca; Gastropoda; Lepetellida; Haliotidae
Exons: 4
Source: RefSeq, a predicted model, not a curated record